Molecule: long non-coding RNA, 736 nt
Organism: Carassius gibelio (silver crucian carp)
Lineage: Eukaryota; Metazoa; Chordata; Actinopteri; Cypriniformes; Cyprinidae
Exons: 3
Source: RefSeq, a predicted model, not a curated record
AUGUGAAGAGCUUGAAGAAGAAGGGCAGAGGAAGCUUUGACCACAGAGUGGAGGGGAAACAACAUCUGUGCAGUAAAAAUGGUACAACAACAGGGCGGUGACACUUGUGUCAUCCUUCGCUGGACCAGAACCUGUUCAGGAGAUUCAACACUGGGACAAAGCCGCCAAAACCUACAUUGACGUUAGAAAGGCUUCCAUUGUGGGCAUCUACAAUAAAUACAUGGGAGGUGUGGAUUUGUUGGACUCAUUUACAGCAAAACACAAGUAUGCACUGAAAUCCUGGCGGUGGUACAUGUACAUCUUCUGGCACACAAUCACCCUUGCUGUAGUCAACGCCUGGCUCCUCUACAAGCAGCACAGCCUAUGCUCUCAGAAUGCCAAAGAAGGAGAUACUGAACAUGAGAAAGUUCGAAGCACAGCUGGCUUCCUCUCUCAUUACGAGGACAGGAACCAUUUCUGGGAUUACCACUAUAAGUAAAGGUGGACUUCACGCUGAGCACACAGAUUUCAGUGGAGAGUGAGAGAACACUGCAGACAUUGCACUGUUAACAAUCUUGAUGGGCACCUCUUCGGACCUGACGUGCUACCCAGCUACGCAAACGCAGCUAAGUGGAUGUACUCUCUUGUGAUUGGCCAGAGUGAUCACGAGUCUACGGAUGUUUGGGUCUCAUUGCUGAAAGAGUGCAUGAAUCGGUGGAAAAACCCCAGCCCCCCUGUGCUGCCAGCUUCUCCAAGC